CAGGGGCCUACCUCUCACGUUUCUUUGUCACCUGUUCGGGGCUGCUCCCUGCAUUUAUGUCUGAACCUUUCCAAAGCUGGUUGAAUUCCCGCCUGCAGGUAGCGCGAGGGUCGUUCAGCAGCAGGAGGCGGGGGUCUGGCUGCCCUCAUACCAAACUCGUUCCCUCUACCUCACCAGGGUCUCAAUGUGUGAGUCAUUUCAACUGAGGGUGUUAGGUUUUCAAGUCCACAGGAUGGAAUACUUAGUGUCACAGAAAUAGAAGCUCAUCAAAGGUGUGCUUUGCCGGACUGGGUGGCUGCUCACCAAUUCAUGGGAGGCUUAGCACAUCGUAAUGGAAAAGCAGAGAGGGCGUGUAAGCCGGUUAGUUUCCUGCCAUCCUGCAAUGCCUGAAAUCGAGCCUGUUGAAGUGGGAGGUAGCCUGAUAAGUGAAGAUAGCUCGGAAUUUCGAAUUAGAAGACUCGAUGAUUUACUGUGUGACCCUGGAUCAUUCACUGAGCCACUCUGGGCCCUAUUUUUCUUAUCUUUUAGUUGAACAUAAUACAUAUAGGUAAGUUAUAAUGCUUCGACUUGACAAAUCAAAAGACAGCAUGCAUAAUGAAAAAAGAAUAUUGUAUGUAGUAAAGCUUUGUAUGAAUGAGA
Homo sapiens (human) is the source of this 639-nucleotide long non-coding RNA. RefSeq lists it as uncharacterized. The transcript is spliced from 2 exons. Lineage: Eukaryota; Metazoa; Chordata; Mammalia; Primates; Hominidae. The record is from RefSeq and is a predicted model, not a curated record.